AGCCAUGCAUGUUUCUGUUAUAAGGACAAAUAGCUCAGUAAAACUAAGUUUAUUUACCCUCGGCGGGAGAUAACCUGGAGAAAUUCAGGCUAAGAACGAGGAUAAGGCUUAGGACUAUCAGCUAGUUGGUAGUGUAACGGACUACCAAGGCGACGACGGUUAACGGGAUACGAGAGUGUGAUACCGGAGAGGGAGCCUGAGAGAUUGCUCCUACGUCCAAGGACGGCAGCAGGCGCGAAAAUUGUCCACUCUUGCAGGAGACAGUUAUGAAAAGUAAAAAAGAUAGGUUUUGUAAAGAAAAAUUCUAAAAUUGGAGGGCAAGUUUGGUGCCAGCAGCCGCGGUAAUACCAACUCCAAGAGUGUGUAUGAGAGUUGUUGCAGUUAAAAGGUCCGUAGUCGUUAAUUUAAAUAAAACGUAGAGUUUGGGUUUAAUGUGGAGGGGCUGAUGGGGACCAUAGUAUACAAGGGCGAGAGAUGAAAUGUCAAGACCCCUUGUGGACUCAGCGAGGCGAAAGCGGUGGUCUAGUAAGUACUCGGUGAUCAAGGACGAAGGGUAGAGGAGCGAAAGUGAUUAGAGACCGCUGUAGUUUUACCAGUAAAAGAUGCCGACUAUCCUGGCGCGUGCGCAGCGCUUGCGCAGGCCGCGCGGGCUGGGAAUAGAGAAAUCGAUAAGUGUUCGGGCUCUGGGGAUAGUAUGCUCGCAAGAGUGAAAAUUAAAGAAAUU
This 724-nucleotide ribosomal RNA is filed under the name Microsporidium sp. BVOR1 PAR. Its description in RNAcentral is "SSU rRNA". It matches the Rfam family "Microsporidia small subunit ribosomal RNA", at positions 46 to 788 of the family's 1311-position model. The record is from RNAcentral. Lineage: Eukaryota; Fungi; Microsporidia.